Molecule: ribosomal RNA, 225 nt
Filed under: uncultured bacterium
Lineage: Bacteria
Description: partial 16S ribosomal RNA
Rfam family: Bacterial small subunit ribosomal RNA
Source: RNAcentral
GAUCAUGGCUCAGGAUGAACGCUAGCUACAGGCUUAACACAUGCAAGUCGAGGGGCAGCAUGGUCUUAGCUUGCUAAGGCCGAUGGCGACCGGCGCACGGGUGAGUAACACGUAUCCAACCUGCCGUCUACUCUUGGACAGCCUUCUGAAAGGAAGAUUAAUACAAGAUGGCAUCAUGAGUUCGCAUGUUCACAUGAUUAAAGGUAAUUCCGGUAGACGACGUGG